Molecule: ribosomal RNA, 108 nt
Filed under: Planctomycetaceae bacterium
Lineage: Bacteria; Pseudomonadati; Planctomycetota; Planctomycetia; Planctomycetales; Planctomycetaceae
Source: RNAcentral
UCCGGUGGUCAUAUCCGAAAGGUCACACCUGUUACCAUCCCGAACACAGAAGUUAAGCUUUCGGAGCCGAUGAUAGUAGAUAAAUUGCGAAAGUAGGUACUGCCGGUU